GACGAACGCUGGCGGCGUGCCUAAUACAUGCAAGUAGAGCGCUGAAGACUUUAGCUUGCUAAAGUUGGAAGGGUUGCGAACGGGUGAGUAACGCGUAGGUAACCUGCCUACUAGCGGGGGAUAACUAUUGGAAACGAUAGCUAAUACCGCAUAACAGCAUUUAACCCAUGUUAGAUGCUUGAAAGGAGCAAUUGCUUCACUAGUAGAUGGACCUGCGUUGUAUUAGCUAGUUGGUGAGGUAACGGCCCACCAAGGCGACGAUACAUAGCCGACCUGAGAGGGUGAUCGGCCACACUGGGACUGAGACACGGCCCAGACUCCUACGGGAGGCAGCAGUAGGGAAUCUUAGGCAAUGGGGGCAACCCUGACCGAGCAACGCCGCGUGAGUGAAGAAGGUUUUCGGAUCGUAAAGCUCUGUUGUAAGAGAAGAACGUGUGUGAGAGUGGAAAGUUCGCACAGUGACGGUAACUUACCAGAAAGGGACGGCUAACUACGUGC
This 498-nucleotide ribosomal RNA is filed under the name uncultured Streptococcus sp. Its description in RNAcentral is "bacterial SSU rRNA". It matches the Rfam family "Bacterial small subunit ribosomal RNA", at positions 28 to 508 of the family's 1533-position model. The record is from RNAcentral. Lineage: Bacteria; Bacillati; Bacillota; Bacilli; Lactobacillales; Streptococcaceae.